UACGGAGGGAGCUAGCGUUGUUCGGAAUUACUGGGCGUAAAGCGCACGUAGGCGGCCAUUCAAGUCAGAGGUGAAAGCCCAGGGCUCAACCCUGGAACUGCCUUUGAAACUAGAUGGCUAGAAUCCUGGAGAGGCGAGUGGAAUUCCGAGUGUAGAGGUGAAAUUCGUAGAUAUUCGGAAGAACACCAGUGGCGAAGGCGACUCGCUGGACAGGUAUUGACGCUGAGGUGCGAAAGCGUGGGGAGCAAACAGG
This 253-nucleotide ribosomal RNA is filed under the name uncultured bacterium. RNAcentral's name for it is "partial 16S ribosomal RNA". It matches the Rfam family "Bacterial small subunit ribosomal RNA", at positions 524 to 776 of the family's 1533-position model. The record is from RNAcentral. RNAcentral also lists the same sequence under 1 other name.